This 465-nucleotide ribosomal RNA is filed under the name Vreelandella stevensii. RNAcentral describes it as "partial 16S ribosomal RNA". It matches the Rfam family "Bacterial small subunit ribosomal RNA", at positions 338 to 795 of the family's 1533-position model. The record is from RNAcentral. Lineage: Bacteria; Pseudomonadati; Pseudomonadota; Gammaproteobacteria; Oceanospirillales; Halomonadaceae.
CCUACGGGGGGCAGCAGUGGGGAAUAUUGGACAAUGGGCGAAAGCCUGAUCCAGCCAUGCCGCGUGUGUGAAGAAGGCCUUCGGGUUGUAAAGCACUUUCAGUGGGGAAGAAAGCCUUGGGGCUAAUACCCUCGAGGAAGGACAUCACCCACAGAAGAAGCACCGGCUAACUCCUUGCCAGCAGCCGCGGUAAUACGGAGGGUGCGAGCGUUAAUCGGAAUUACUGGGCGUAAAGCGCGCGUAGGCGGUCUGAUAAGCCGGUUGUGAAAGCCCCGGGCUCAACCUGGGAACGGCAUCCGGAACUGUCAGGCUAGAGUGCAGGAGAGGAAGGUAGAAUUCCCGGUGUAGCGGUGAAAUGCGUAGAGAUCGGGAGGAAUCCCAGUGGCGAAGGCGGCCUUCUGGACUGACACUGACGCUGAGGUGCGAAAGCGUGGGUAGCAAACAGGAUUAGAUACCCGAGUAGUC